This 393-nucleotide ribosomal RNA is filed under the name uncultured bacterium. RNAcentral's name for it is "bacterial SSU rRNA". It matches the Rfam family "Bacterial small subunit ribosomal RNA", at positions 28 to 416 of the family's 1533-position model. The record is from RNAcentral.
GAUGAACGCUAGCGGCAGGCCUAAUACAUGCAAGACGAACGGUAAGUUGAGUAGCAAUACUUAGCCAAGAGUGUCGUACGGGUGCGUAACACGUAUGCAACCUACCCUAUACAGGAGGAUAGCCUAGGGAAACCUGGAUUAACCCUUCAUAGUAUUAUUGGAUGGCAUCAUUUGAUAAUUAAAACUAGAGGUGGUAUAGGAUGGGCAUGCGUCUGAUUAGUUAGUUGGCGGGGUAAGUGGCCCACCAAGACGAUGAUCAGUAGGGGUUCUGAGAGGAAGAUCCCCCACACUGGCACUGAGAUACGGGCCAGACUCCUACGGGAGGCAGCAGUAGGGAAUAUUGGUCAAUGGAUGCAAGUCUGAACCAGCCAUGCCGCGUGCAGGAAGAAGGCC